RNAcentral lists this transfer RNA (72 nucleotides) under Camelus bactrianus (Bactrian camel). It matches the Rfam family "tRNA". Rfam says of the family: Transfer RNA (tRNA) molecules are approximately 80 nucleotides in length. Their secondary structure includes four short double-helical elements and three loops (D, anti-codon, and T loops). Lineage: Eukaryota; Metazoa; Chordata; Mammalia; Artiodactyla; Camelidae. RNAcentral also lists the same sequence under 2 other names. The record is from Rfam by way of RNAcentral.
GAGGGUGUAGCUCAGCGGUAGCGCACAUGCUUAGCAUGCGCGAGGUCCUGGGUUCAAUCCCCAGUACUUCCA